AUUGAACGCUGGCGGCAUGCCUUACACAUGCAAGUCGAACGGCAGCACGGGAGCAAUCCUGGUGGCGAGUGGCGAACGGGUGAGUAAUAUAUCGGAACGUGCCCAGUCGUGGGGAUAACGUAGCGAAAGCUACGCUAAUACCGCAUACGAUCUAUGGAUGAAAGCGGGGGAUCGCAAGACCUCGCGCGAUUGGAGCGGCCGAUAUCAGAUUAGGUAGUUGGUGAGGUAAAGGCUCACCAAGCCGACGAUCUGUAGCUGGUCUGAGAGGACGACCAGCCACACUGGGACUGAGACACGGCCCAGACUCCUACGGGAGGCAGCAGUGGGGAAUUUUGGACCAAUGGGCGCAAGCCUGAUCCAGCAAUGCGCGUGCAGGAUGAAGGCCU
RNAcentral lists this ribosomal RNA (386 nucleotides) under uncultured bacterium. RNAcentral describes it as "bacterial SSU rRNA". It matches the Rfam family "Bacterial small subunit ribosomal RNA", at positions 30 to 417 of the family's 1533-position model. The record is from RNAcentral.